GUUNUGGGGANAUUCCACGGUUUCCGUGACGCAGCUAACGCAUUAAGUUCCCCGCCUGGGGAGUACGGCCGCAAGGCUAAAACUCAAAGGAAUUGACGGGGACCCGCACAAGCGGCGGAGCAUGCGGAUUAAUUCGAUGCAACGCGAAGAACCUUACCAAGGCUUGACAUAUACGAGAACGGGCCAGAAAUGGUCAACUCUUUGGACACUCGUAAACAGGUGGUGCAUGGUUGUCGUCAGCUCGUGUCGUGAGAUGUUGGGUUAAGUCCCGCAACGAGCGCAACCCUCGUUCUAUGUUGCCAGCACGUAAUGGUGGGAACUCAUGGGAUACUGCCGGGGUCAACUCGAAGGAAGGUGGGGAUGACGUCAAAUCAUCAUGCCCCUUAUGUCUUGGGCUUCACGCAUGCUACAAUGGCCGGUACAAAGGGCUGCAAUACCGUGAGGUGGAGCGAAUCCCAAAAAGCCGGUCCCAGUUCGGAUUGAGGUCUGCAACUCGACCUCAUGAAGUCGGAGUCGCUAGUAAUCGCAGAUCAGCAACGCUGCGGUGAAUACGUUCCCGGGUCUUGUACACACCGCCCGUCAAGUCAUGAAAGUCGGUAACACCUGAAGCCGGUGGNNCUAACCCUUGNGG
Molecule: ribosomal RNA, 631 nt
Filed under: Microbacterium sp.
Lineage: Bacteria; Bacillati; Actinomycetota; Actinomycetes; Micrococcales; Microbacteriaceae
Description: bacterial SSU rRNA
Rfam family: Bacterial small subunit ribosomal RNA
Source: RNAcentral